CGACGUCGGCGGCGCCAAGGCGUCUUGGCGUCGGGCGUCUGGGACGUGGCAUCAACGGCCCCAUCCGGCGCCGGCGGCGGGCGCCCGGCGGUCUUUGCUGCCGCCCGGGGGCGCAGAGGCCGGGCCUUUUCUUUCAGCACAAACGUCAGUUUGUAAAAGGGUGGGGCUGGAGUCUGAGGAGUUUUCAGGCUUCUGUCUCGAAGGAAGUCUGGCAGGCUCGGAAUUGCCAUCUUCCUCAGGCAAAUAGUUUUUCACCUUAGAGCCAGCCUUGGCAAGGCCAAACCGCCCAGUCACCCGACUUCCCACAGUCUCAGCAGGGAGGAAAAAAUUUUUUUCAUCUAUAAUUUGGAAGCCAAGUCGUAACAAAAUGAAACCAGUAAAGCAUCUGUUGACCACCAGUAACAAAUCGGCAACUCUUCCAGCAUUAACCAGCAAAAAAGGACUACAUAAUUUACCACUAUCACCUAAACUGAAGGAAAAACAUAAUGCAAAAUUAAUUCAUGAUAAAAUUGAACCAAUGGUCCUGAGAUCUCCACCAACAGGAGAAUCCAUUGUACGGUAUGCUUUGCCCAUUCCAUCGAGUAAGACAAAGAACUUACUACCAGGAGAUGAAAUGAUUGGAAAAAUUAUCAAACGUCUGAAGAUGGUUGUUUCCACUUUGGAAGAAACCUAUGGACACUGUGAUCAGAAUGGAGAAGAACCAUUUGUAAAGCGUGAAAAUGAAGAAUUAUCUUUAUCUGUUGGGGAUGAUAUGAAUUCAUUCUUGACGUGUUGUUCACAAUUUGCAACUCAGCUAGAAGCAGCACUUAAAGAAGAACAAAAUAUUUUGGAAUCUCUUUUUAAGUGGUUUCAGUGGCAAGUCAAUCAGAUGGAAGAAGAAAGCCACCUUCCAGAGAGGUGCUGUACUUCCUGCUGGGAAGCUGUUCACAAGGGUGAUAUGUUGGAAAACUUCCCUAAGGGAGGCUCUGCACUGGUGAAUUUUGCUACAAAGUUCUGGGGGAAGCUGCCCAUAGGAAUCUGCCAUGCCAGGGACCUUACCAGGAAGUCAUCCAUGAGCUGAUGCUGUUGAAAUUUUCUGGGGGUGAGUACUAUAAAAUAUACUACACACUGCCUGAGGAAGAAGCAGAGAGAGACACGGAACUAGGAAGAGAAGCUUCUUCCUCUUCCAAUGCCUCUUCAGGACACUCUGCUGAAAAAGGUUAACAUCAGACCACCAGUCAAGGAAGAAAUGUUCCACUAUCUCAGACAACACAAUGAAGAAUAGAUUGUUGAGAUAAGUAAAGAUCAAACUCUUUUACAAGCAGAGCCUCCAGAACCUGACAAAACAGUCACUUUAAGUAUUGCACAAAUAGUACGCCUUU
Molecule: RNA transcript, 1361 nt
Organism: Cercocebus atys (sooty mangabey)
Lineage: Eukaryota; Metazoa; Chordata; Mammalia; Primates; Cercopithecidae
Gene name: coiled-coil domain-containing protein 7
Exons: 8
Source: RefSeq, a predicted model, not a curated record